Molecule: unclassified non-coding RNA, 790 nt
Filed under: Hevea brasiliensis (rubber tree)
Lineage: Eukaryota; Viridiplantae; Streptophyta; Magnoliopsida; Malpighiales; Euphorbiaceae
Source: RNAcentral
GUCGCAGCAGCAGCAGCAGCAGCAAGCUCAGUCGCAGCGACCUCGCAGACAAGGGUCAACGGACGAGGUUAAAACGCUUUGGAUUGGUGACCUUCAGCCUUGGAUGGACGAGACCUACCUCAAUAAUUGUUUCGCUCACACCGGCGAGGUUUUCUCUGUUAAGGUUAUAUGCAAUAAGCAAACUGGUCAAUCUGAGGGCUACGGAUUUGUUGAGUUCUAUUCGCAUGCAACGGCCGAUAAAGUUUUGCAGAAUUAUAAUGGUGCUAUAAUGCCUAACACAGAGCUGCCUUUCCGUCUCAAUUGGGCAACUUUUAGUGCAAAUGAUAGGCGACCAGACACUGGUUCUGACCUAUCGAUAUUUGUUGGUGAUUUGGCUGCCGAUGUGACUGAUGCUAUGCUGCAAGAAACUUUUUCUAGUAGAUACACAUCUGUUAAAGGAGCAAAGGUGGUUAUUGAUUCAAAUUCAGGUCGUUCAAAAGGUUAUGGCUUUGUCAGGUUUGGUGAUGAAAAUGAAAGGACAAGGGCUAUGACUGAAAUGAAUGGGAUAUAUUGUUCAAGUAGACCCAUGCGCAUUGGUGUUGCAACACCAAAGAAGGCAUCUGGAUAUCAACAAGGUUAUUCUUCACAAGCUUUGGUACUGGCUGGUGGACAUGCAAAUGGCAUGGCCGUUCAGGGUUCACAAUCAGAUGGCGAGUCAAACAACACGACUAUAUUUGUUGGCGGCCUUGAUUCUGAUGUUAGUGAUGAAGAUCUCAAGCAACCUUUCUCUAAAUUUGGUGAUGUUGUAUCU